This 696-nucleotide ribosomal RNA is filed under the name uncultured Chloroflexaceae bacterium. RNAcentral describes it as "bacterial SSU rRNA". It matches the Rfam family "Bacterial small subunit ribosomal RNA", at positions 41 to 754 of the family's 1533-position model. Lineage: Bacteria; Bacillati; Chloroflexota; Chloroflexia; Chloroflexales; Chloroflexaceae. The record is from RNAcentral.
GGCGUGCUUAACACAUGCAAGUCGAACGGGAUCCUUGAAUUCGUUCAGGGUGAGAGUGGCGAACGGGUGAGUAACACGUAGGUGACCUGCCCCAAAGAGGGGGAUAACUAUUGGAAACGGUAGCUAAUACCCCAUACCAUCUCUUGAUUUGGAUAUCUGGAGAUGAAAGCUCCGGUGCUUUGGGAGGGGCCUGCGGCCCAUCAGCUUGUUGGUAGGGUAAUGGCCUACCAAGGCUAAGACGGGUAGGGGGCGUGAGAGCGUGACCCCCCACACUGGCACUGACACACGGGCCAGACUCCUACGGGAGGCAGCAGUGAGGAAUAUUGCACAAUGGGCGAAAGCCUGAUGCAGCAACGCCGCGUGGAUGAUGAAGGCCUUCGGGUUGUAAAAUCCUUUUCUGGAGGAAGAGAAAGGACGGUACUCCAGGAAUAAGCGUCGGCUAACUACGUGCCAGCAGCCGCGGUAAAACGUAGGACGCAAGCGUUAUCCGGAUUUAUUGGGCGUAAAGCGCGUGCAGGCGGUAUGGCAAGUCCGACGUGAAAGCUCCUGGCUCAACUGGGAGAGGUCGUUCGAAACUACCACACUUGAGGACCGUAGAGGAGAGUGGAAUUCCCGGUGUAGUGGUGAAAUGCGUAGAUAUCCGGAGGAACACCAGUGGCGAAGGCGGCUCUCUGGCCGUUCCUGACGCUAAGACGC